This 519-nucleotide ribosomal RNA is filed under the name uncultured bacterium. Its description in RNAcentral is "bacterial SSU rRNA". It matches the Rfam family "Bacterial small subunit ribosomal RNA", at positions 35 to 524 of the family's 1533-position model. The record is from RNAcentral.
CGAGCUGGCGGCAUGCCUAUCAUGCAAGUCGAACGCUUUGAUUUCACCGGGUGCUUGCACCCACCGAAGUCAAAGAGUGGCGGACGGGUGAGUAACACGUGGGUAACCUGCCCAUAAGAGGGGGAUAACAUUCGGAAACGGAUGCUAAUACCGCAUACUUCUAAUCGCCUCCUGGCGAAUGGAGAAAAGGUGGCUUCGGCUACCGCUUAUGGAUGGACCCGCGGCGUAUUAGCUAGUUGGUGAGGUAAUGGCUCACCAAGGCGAUGAUACGUAGCCGACCUGAGAGGGUGAUCGGCCACACUGGGACUGAGACACGGCCCAGACUCCUACGGGAGGCAGCAGUAGGGAAUCUUCCGCAAUGGACGAAAGUCUGACGGAGCAAUGCCGCGUGAGUGAAGAAGGUUUUCGGAUCGUAAAACUCUGUUGUUAGAGAAGAACAAGGAUGAGAGUAACUGCUCAUCCCCUGACGGUAUCUAACCAGAAAGCCACGGCUAACUACGUGCCAGCAGCCGCGGUAAU